CGGCGGACGGGUGAGUAACGCGUGGGUAACCUGCCUCAUACAGGGGGAUAACAGUUGGAAACGGCUGCUAAUACCGCAUAAGCGCACAGUACCGCAUGGUACGGUGUGAAAAACUCCGGUGGUAUGAGAUGGACCCGCGUCUGAUUAGGUAAUUGGUGGGGUAACGGCCUACCAAGCCGACGAUCAGUAGCCGACCUGAGAGGGUGACCGGCCACAUUGGGACUGAGACACGGCCCAA
Molecule: ribosomal RNA, 238 nt
Filed under: uncultured bacterium
Lineage: Bacteria
Description: partial 16S ribosomal RNA
Rfam family: Bacterial small subunit ribosomal RNA
Source: RNAcentral